GAUGAACGCUAGCUACAGGCUUAACACAUGCAAGUCGAGGGGCAUCAGGAAGAAAGCUUGCUUUCUUUGCUGGCGACCGGCGCACGGGUGAGUAACACGUAUCCAACCUGCCCUUUACUCGGGGAUAGCCUUUCGAAAGAAAGAUUAAUACCCGAUGGCAUAAUGAUUCCGCAUGGUUUCAUUAUUAAAGGAUUCCGGUAAAGGAUGGGGAUGCGUUCCAUUAGGUUGUUGGCGGGGUAACGGCCCACCAAGCCUUCGAUGGAUAGGGGUUCUGAGAGGUUGGCCGGCCACAUUGGGACUGAGACACGACCCAG
This 314-nucleotide ribosomal RNA is filed under the name uncultured bacterium. Its description in RNAcentral is "bacterial SSU rRNA". It matches the Rfam family "Bacterial small subunit ribosomal RNA", at positions 28 to 334 of the family's 1533-position model. The record is from RNAcentral.